AUUGAACGCUGGCGGCAUGCCUUACACAUGCAAGUCGAACGGUAACAGGGAGCUUGCUCCGCUGACGAGUGGCGAACGGGCGAGUAAUGUAUCGGAACGUACCUUUUAGUGGGGGAUAACGUAGCGAAAGUUACGCUAAUACCGCAUAUUCUCUGAGGAGGAAAGCAGGGGACCUUCGGGCCUUGCGCUAAUAGAGCGGCUGAUAUCAGAUUAGCUAGUUGGUGAGGUAAAGGCUCACCAAGGCGACGAUCUGUAGCGGGUCUGAGAGGAUGAUCCGCCACACUGGAACUGAGACACGGUCCAGACUCCUACGGGAGGCAGCAGUGGGGAAUUUUGGACAAUGGGGGCAACCCUGAUCCAGCCAUGCCGCGUGAGUGAAGAAGGCCUUCGGGUUGUAAAGCUCUUUCGGCCGGGAAAAAAUCGCAUGGGUUAAUACCCUGUGUGGAUGAUGGUACCGGAAUAAGAAGCACCGGCUAACUACGUGCCAGCAGCCGCCGUAA
Molecule: ribosomal RNA, 500 nt
Filed under: uncultured bacterium
Lineage: Bacteria
Description: partial 16S ribosomal RNA
Rfam family: Bacterial small subunit ribosomal RNA
Source: RNAcentral